UGAGAGGAGGAGCCCGGAGAUGGGCACUGAGAUAAGGGCCCAGGCCCUAUGGGGCGCAGCAGGCGCGAAACCUCUGCAAUGGGCGAAAGCCUGACAGGGUUACUCUGAGUGAUUCCCGCUAAGGGGAUCUUUUGACACCUCUAAAAAUGGUGUAGAAUAAGGGGUGGGCAAGUCUGGUGUCAGCCGCCGCGGUAAUACCAGCACCCCGAGUGGUCGGGACGAUUAUUGGGCCUAAAGCAUCCGUAGCCGGUUCUUCAAGUCUUCCGUUAAAUCCAGCCGCUCAACGGAUGGGCUGCGGAAGAUACUAAAGGACUAGGAGGCGGGAGAGGCAAGCGGUACUCAGUGGGUAGGGGUAAAAUCCUUUGAUCCAUUGAAGA
Molecule: ribosomal RNA, 377 nt
Filed under: uncultured archaeon
Lineage: Archaea
Description: bacterial SSU rRNA
Rfam family: Archaeal small subunit ribosomal RNA
Source: RNAcentral